UCGACAUAAUGAUGAUUUCAAAAGUGAACGAAUUCUAUAUUUUAUUUUUUUUAAUGUCACUGACAUACAUGUUUUUUGACAUUUUUCCAUAAUUUUUAGCAAUUAAAUGUUGUCCCAAAAUUGCUGUACCUAAUAUCAAAAUUCAAAAUAUAAUUUCAAUAAGAGCUCAUCCAUGUGACAACAUUUAUAGUACAUAUGUCGCAGGAAGAAGAAUGUGAUUUGGCAAAAUCCAAAAACCAUAUAUUUGCUAAACUCGAACAAUUACAAAAGGAAGUAGAAGAUAUCCUAGACAGAAUGAAUAUCAAUAAUUUAUUACAAAAAGAGUAUAAACCACUAUUGUUAUCAAGGAUACUCAAGUUAUUGCCUCCGAGGUUACAGAACUAUUAAAUAAACCUGAAUUAGAAGAGCUCUAUAAGCAUAUCAAUAAAAUUUAGCAUUUUAACUGUUUUAUCUUUGAAUAUUAGGUUUACGUACUUGGAAUGACUAAAAUGCACAUGUAAAUAAAUUUUAUGCUCCUA
Molecule: long non-coding RNA, 518 nt
Organism: Anthonomus grandis grandis
Lineage: Eukaryota; Metazoa; Arthropoda; Insecta; Coleoptera; Curculionidae
Exons: 2
Source: RefSeq, a predicted model, not a curated record